RNAcentral lists this ribosomal RNA (500 nucleotides) under uncultured bacterium. Its description in RNAcentral is "partial 16S ribosomal RNA". It matches the Rfam family "Bacterial small subunit ribosomal RNA", at positions 30 to 523 of the family's 1533-position model. The record is from RNAcentral.
AUUGAACGCUGGCGGAAUGCUUUACACAUGCAAGUCGAACGGCAGCACGGACUUCGGUCUGGUGGCGAGUGGCGAACGGGUGAGUAAUGUAUCGGAACGUGCCCAGUCGUGGGGGAUAACGUAGUGAAAAUUACGCUAAUACCGCAUACGAUCUAUGGAUGAAAGCGGGGGAUCGCAAGACCUCGCGCGAUUGGAGCGGCCGAUAUCAGAUUAGGUAGUUGGUGGGGUAAAGGACCACCAAGCCAACGAUCUGUAGCUGGUCUGAGAGGACGACCAGCCACACUGGAACUGCGACACGGUCCAGACUCCUACGGGAGGCAGCAGUGGGGAAUUUUGGACAAUGGGCGAAAGCCUGAUCCAGCCAUUCCGCGUGCAGGAUGAAGGCCCUCGGGUUGUAAACUGCUUUUGUACAGAACGAAAAGGUUUCUACUAAUACUAGGAGCUCAUGACGGUACUGUAAGAAUAAGCACCGGCUAACUACGUGCCAGCAGCCGCGGUAA